GACGAACGCUGGCGGCGUGCUUAACACAUGCAAGUCGAGCGGAGCGGCGAACGGGUGCGUAACGCGUGCGUAACUGCCCCCCUCUCUGGGAUAACGGUUGGAAACGGCUGCUGAUACCGGAUAGUGGGGGAUGACUCGCGGCCUAUCAGCUUGUGGGUUGGGUAGUGGCCUACCAAGGCGACGACGGGUAGCCGGCCUGAGAGGGCGACCGGCCACAUUGGGCUGAGAUACGGCACAAACUCGUACGGGAGGCAGCAGUGGGGAAUAUGGCACAAUGGGGGAAACCCUGAGGCAGCAACGCCGCGUGCGGGAUGACGGCCUUCGGGUUGUAAACCGCUUUCAGCCAUGACGCGGUAGUGGCAGAAGAAGCACCGGCUAACUACGUGCCAGCAGCCGCGGUAAUUC
RNAcentral lists this ribosomal RNA (405 nucleotides) under uncultured bacterium. RNAcentral describes it as "partial 16S ribosomal RNA". It matches the Rfam family "Bacterial small subunit ribosomal RNA", at positions 28 to 526 of the family's 1533-position model. The record is from RNAcentral.